Long non-coding RNA from Oryzias melastigma (Indian medaka), 2977 nucleotides. RefSeq lists it as uncharacterized. Lineage: Eukaryota; Metazoa; Chordata; Actinopteri; Beloniformes; Adrianichthyidae. The record is from RefSeq and is a predicted model, not a curated record. The transcript is spliced from 2 exons.
AAAUGAGGUCAAAGGAGAAAAAACACAACAAAAAGAAAAGAUAUAAAUACUUCAAAAACUUUUCUUCACACACAACCUUGUGCAAAGUGUCCCACCUCAACCAGUUUUUAAAUUGAAGAAGAAGGAGAAGGUGCGCGCGCGUGUAUUUGUGUGCGCGCAAAAAGUUUAAAUGAGGUGACCUACUUGUCAGUAGGCCGUGUACUCAGACAAAUUCCUCUGGUGAUAACAUACUUUUCCUCACUUUUUCUUUAUCAUUAUUAUUAUUGUUUUGAAGAAAAACUAUUUAUUUAAAUAAUUUGAAAGUAUUCCUAAGUUUUUUGGAACACAAAAGCUUCAGAAUCACUACCAUUUUGGCUAUAACUCAAUAUUUUUUUCUUACUAUUCAAAAAUCCUCAAAACGCAGCAAGCGCAAAGGGAGCGCCAGCCAGCCUCUCAUUUACCUCUCCACCCCCUCCCUAACCUGCCCUUGUCUAAUUGCUGGCGUAUCCAUUAGCAUCUUCUGGAUUCACGUUUUAGUUUAACAGCGAGGGCACGUUCAGUGACGUAGCCAAGAACAUCAGCUACGUGCAGCCAUAUUUAAAUACAUCAAGGCAAUUAGCGCAUCAAAAUAUGCAAAUCCUUCUUACUACAUAGUCCUCCCGGCUGGAGUCGGAGUAAUUCCCCCCCUGCUCGGUUCGUGGGUGUUUGAUUGCCGUUUGGAGAACCAACAUAGUCUUGUUUGUUCCUCCAAGAAGCUUUUUUUCUCUUAAUGCGAACGGGACAGAACGGAGCGAUGAGGAGAAGGGGAACCGCGGCUCCUGCGUGGAAGAGAAAAGCGCCCAUGCGUAAUGAGAGGAGCCGCUCCGCCAUUCUUAAUUCCCCGACGCCGUGGGCUCUUGGUGAUCAAGCAGAGAGAAGCGCGCGACCACGUUCAGCUUCCAGGAGCAGAAUAAUGAGAUUUUCCAUCAACUUCUCACAUAUUUAAAUGAUCGCACGUUUUACAGUGUGACCUUCGGUUGUCAAAGCGCAUUACACCACACAUUUAAAAAGGUGACUAUGUUAUUUUUUAUGACAUUAUUCGUAAAAUAAAUAAAUAAAUAAAUAAAUAAUAAAAUAUCUGCUACAUCAAUGUAACGUCGCGUAAAAUCUAUUUCGAUUUGAGUUCAAAUAUGAUCAAAAUGAAGCAUCACUAUUGAAUCAGUAAAAUGCGCUCUUCAUGUUCCAAUCCUUGAAAAUCCCGCUGAUUGGGCCUGGAAAUAUGAUUAAUCUGCAGGCCUGUUGCUGAGCUCCUUCAUUGUAUUCUCAUUCGUUUAGUAAAGAUUAUACGUUUUUUGUUGUUGUUUACCAAAAUAAAUAAAAUGUUUUCCAAAGAAAUUGUAUCGAAUGCGUGUUUUUUUCUGAUGCUUGGUGCUCGUUGGUUUUAAGGGAAAUAUGGACUUCAGGCAGUUCUUGGAUUUUUAGAACAUUUAUUUUUCCCAAGCAGAUUAAAGGUGUAAUAAAACGGAGCCAUGCUGAUUUUCGUGUAUAUUAAAUGGGUAGUGCAAGGCCUGACAACAUUUUAAAUCAUUGUUCUUUCUUCUUUUUUAUUUUUCUAUCAACAAACGAGUUCCUGAGAUGGUAAACUCACAAGGAAUUUGGCGUCUUUAAGAUUUUAUUUUCUUUUAUCAAAAGAGAAAAAAAUGAGGAGCUUUGACUGAUCAUUUAAUGUUAUUUGGAUUUGAACAAAUGUAGUUUUUGUGUUAAAAAUGAAGACACCGCGGUCUGAAAGGCAUCACUGAAACACAAUGACUAAGAAACACAUUUUAACAAAGUAAAAGGGAUUUUAAGGGAAAAAAAUGCAGGAUUAAAAUAGAAAAGUUAUUUUUUGGAGCUAAUUUUUCUUUAAUAAUAUUUACAAGGAAUUACUAUAUUUUAAUUCCAAAAUUAUAGACAUAAAGGCAUAUAUAUAUGUAUGAAAAACAAGUUUAUUUUUUUAUUUUGGUUCAUUCUAAAAUAUGCCCCGGUACUAUUUAUUAUUAUUACUAUCCAAUAUGAAGGACAUUGAUAAAAACACUCUUGAUAGAUUAAUAUUUGAUUCAUAUUUUUCAAAUGUUUUUUUAUGUAUUUAUUUAUUUUAUUGUUUAUUGCUUCUUGUUAGUGUUCACUUGUGAAAAUAAAAACAAUAUUUUAUAAUAAGAAUGUGUCUGUUCUAACGAUUUCAUUGUUCUGUUUUGACUAAAGUUCUACAAGGAAAGUGUUGUAAACCUUUAUGAUGACUUUUGCUUCAGGAAAAAUCUUUAUUGUUUUAUUUAUUUUUUUAAAUUUCCGUUUGUAUUAAAUUCAGCCCUUUCUCUGGCCUUAUGUGGACACAUGUUGAACACAACAAAAACCACACGAGUCACAUCAGGAUAACUAAGAAAGCCAGUAACUUUACUGAAAUCUCUUCAAAAUACAAAUAGCCUUUUCCCCCCUUCAGCAGUGGAGACUUUUGCUUCAUCUCCAAACAUUUUUACGACACACAGAAUCAAGUCCCUUGAGUUACAGAGAUGUGAUUUAAUUCAAACCAUCUUCGUCUCAAGUGGCGACAAAGGCCAGCUUAUGCCGCUGAAAGCCGCUCUUGCCUUCCAGAAAAACAUUGGUUCCCAACCUUUUUUUUUCUCAUUUUUUUAAUUUAAGGGUAAUACAAGCUACAUUAAAACUACCGACCAGCUUUUGAAAUAUUUAACAUAUCACUUCUUUUUUUUUAUGUUUUGAGCACAACUUAAAUAAACCACAAACACAGUGAGCAACAGAGAAUGUCCCAAGUGACUGUCCAGAAGUCAAGCAAGUGUAUGUUUUAUUUUUACAUGGCUGUACAGGUGUAUGGUCUCCCCUUUGCACUGCAAGUGACUUAUCAAAAAAUCCACUGAGGUACUGCUUGGGUCCAUUUUUGAGGUACUAACAUUAUAGUCUGUUAAAGUAUGAAAAAGAACACCAAACAAGGAAAAUCAAUGGCUUUAAAUUUAAACAGAAAAAAAAA